RNAcentral lists this long non-coding RNA (357 nucleotides) under Cyanistes caeruleus (blue tit). RNAcentral's name for it is "lncRNA (ENSCCEG00000024423.1)". Lineage: Eukaryota; Metazoa; Chordata; Aves; Passeriformes; Paridae. The record is from RNAcentral.
UAUCGAAGCAUAACUCUUCAAACAAACUUCUUUGGUUUCUGUGUACAACUUCAUUUUCUACAGCCUAUUUAAGCAGAAAGGUCAAGCUAGUUUUCCACAUUUUAUAUGUGUGUCAUUCUCAAUAUAGCAACAGAAUCUCUUAUAGAAAACAAUGGAGCCCAGGCGCAGAGCUACUAAUGAGCAUGCUGGAGAGAGUGUCCAGCCCAGCUCCGGCUAGAGACAAUCCACCUGUCUGCUCUCCGAUGCAGGGUAUGGUGCAUGACAGUAAGACACCCCGUUGUAUUUUGUCCUUAAAUAAUUUAGGUAUUUAUUGAUUUUCCUCACAUUUUUGUUUUGGGGCUUUUUGCUAUUGUUUUG